RNAcentral lists this long non-coding RNA (623 nucleotides) under Gouania willdenowi (blunt-snouted clingfish). RNAcentral describes it as "lncRNA (ENSGWIG00000001758.1)". The record is from RNAcentral. Lineage: Eukaryota; Metazoa; Chordata; Actinopteri; Blenniiformes; Gobiesocidae.
GGAAGCACGUGAACGCUCAACAGUGUCAGAUCCGGGAACGUCCUUCUUCGUGGGCGUAACUAGCUCCGCCCACACUCAUUUCAAUGUUGUAAGGCUUUAUAAAAAAUUAAAAAAAAAUCUGUUUUAAAUAGUGUACAAACAGAUUUAUGCUCAUGUUAGCCUGGUGGAAAUGUAACUGAUCUUUAAAGACGUGCUGUGAGCUUUAUCGGGUUUGUUGGUUGGAACCAAUGCGGAUGAUGUUACUGCUGAUUCUGUUGCUUCCCUGUGUUUGUAACAGCUAUUCAUACCGGUAUGAGUUUGAAUAUGGAAGAACAUUCAGGAUCUAUCUACAAGAAGAUGCUCACACUGUUGAGUUCAGACCCUCAGACGGCUCUGAUGAGCAGAUCCUGUGGUACCAUGACAACCCUUUGGAAACUAAGGUCAGCGGGUGGAGGGCGACAGACUACAGCCUCACAAAAAAUUUGACGCAGAAAGACAGCGGGCAGUACGUAGUGAGAGAUGCUCAUACGAAGAGGCUACACACCGACAAUAUCAAAGUUAUUGGCAACUGUUCCUUCGGAAAUCCGCUGUCAACUGCCAGUCUUCGUCAGAGGCGUCUGCUGAUCACUUUGAUGUUUCCUUGA